AUUCUGCGAAGUAGUAUGGAAGUGGGGUCUGCAUACCAUUGCUGCUCUGUUCCCUGAAUUCAGUCCCUUUCUAAGGAGUAUGUAUGGGGGUCUAACCUCCUGCUUUUCCAGAGUUACAGCCACUUUUGCUGGAAAGCAUAGAUAUCUAAGGCCCCUGAGGCAUGUGCCUGAGCUGCUUCUCUGCCAAGACUCCGUAUGUGUCAGACUGAAGGCACUGGUGGAGUCGGUUCACAAGGAGAUCUUCUAACCCAAGAGUUGCAAAGAUCUGUGGGAGAAGAUCUUUGUGGGUUCCCCUGAUCACUCAUUCACUCACUGCUUCCCUAUGCAAGGAAGGUUCCCCUGGCUCCGUGUCACUCCCAGAGAUGCCCUGACCAGUGAAGAGGAAUCUAGAGGGGCAGUCUGCCCACAGCCACUUUGCCAUGCUGUGGCGAGUUCCACCCAGUCCGAACUUCCAGGCCUUUUCAGCGUGGUCAGGGGAAGACCUCCUACUGAAGCCUCAGUAAUGGUGGACGCCCCACCCACCACCAAGCUGGAUUGUACCAGGUUAACUUCAGACUGCUGUACUGGCAGCGAGAAUUUCAAGCCAGUGGUUCUUAGCUUGCUGGGCUCAGUGGGAGUGGGACCCGCUGAAUGAGACCACUUGGCUCCCUGGCUUCAACCCCCUUUCCAGGGGAGUAAACGGUUCUGUCUCGCUGGAGUUUCAGGUGCCACUGGGAUAGAGAAAGAAAACAAAAACAAAAACAAAAACAAAAACUCCUGAGGCUAGCUCAGUAUCUGCCUGAACAAUGGCCCAGUUUUGUGCUUGGAACCCAGGACCCUGGUGGUGUAGGCACACAAGGGGAUCUCCUGGUCUGUGGAUUGCCAAAACCGUGGGAAAAGUGUAGUAUCUGGGCCGGAUAGCACAGUCCUUCAUGGCUUCCCUUGGCUGGGAAAGGGAGGCUCCCCUGCUCCUUGCACUUCCCUUGUGAAGCGACGUCCCACCCUGCUUCUGCUUGCCCUCCAUGGGAUGCACCCACUGUCUAACCAGUCCCAAUGAGAUGAACAGGGUAUGUCAAUUGGAAAUGCAGAAGUCACCUGCCUUCUGCAUUGGUCUUCCUAGGAGCUGCAGACCAGAGCUGUUCCUGUUCAGCCAUCUUGCCAGCCAAACUCCAGAAUUAUUUCUUAUAUUCUUUCUUAUCUCUUAUAUUUCUGCAGUUUUUCACCUUCAAUUCCUUCUUCAACCUACAGCAGACUACAGCCCCCAUCCCUCCAGUAACACUUCUUACAUGUGCUGUAAGCUUGAUUACUUGUCUGUAUACUUCAUCAAAUUGUAAGCUUUCAGAGGUCAGGGACUAUGCCCUCUUAUUCAUCUUUUUAUUUACAGUAUCUAGUACAACUCCUGGAACAUAGUAGGUAUUUAGUAAAUACGUAUUGAAGGAGUGGAUAAAUUUGCUUAAAUCAAAGCAAAGCCUUUCUCCUGUUUUGGCUGUUCACUCCAAAAAGAUGGAAUUUUCCCCUUAUUUGGUUUUUCCCUCCAAAAAAGACAGAUUUUCCAGAAUAUACAUAUUCAUUCAUUAUGUGUCAGGGUUCUUAUCUCCCCUUAUUCAUCCUCUUCCUCUAUUGCUUAAAUGAGUGUGUACAUGGAAUUAUAGUGGUCUCUCUUUUCAACAUUGUCACACUGAAUGACAUAGAAAGGAGCCUGAAUAUAGUAGAUGGAAGCAGAAGCCUAUGGAAUUAUUCAGCUGGGCACAUGCAUCAGCUCACCUAAGCAGACUCAGACCAAUUGGAGGAAGGAUGACCUAUCCCAGUCGCUUUUGUUGUGAUGGAUGGUGAAUAAACCCUCUUGGUAUAGCAACUGUACUGGGACACUGGAAAUCUCCCGGCCUGAAAAUAUUUGUUUCUGAUAUCGAAACUUGUAACAGUCAUCCUUUGGUAUGAUCAAAGGAAGAUGUAUUACUUACACAGGCAGGGAAAUCUCAAGGCAAGAGGAUGAAAGGUUAGCCCUCUGGGAGAGAGCCUAGGGGCAGGUGAGGAGGGAGAGACAGAGAGAGAGAGAGAGAGAGAGAGAGAGAGAGAGAGAGAGAGAGACUGGCAAGUACACAGGCACUUUAUAAAAGAGGAAGUUGCCAGCAAAAAGUUUAAAAGAGGAAUCAAGAGGGUGCAUUAGCUUGUGGUAUGUGUGUGGGGGCAGAGUGACGGUUAUCAGGAUACUAAUGCUAAAGGAAGGCAAAAGACACAGUAGGAAUGUGGCUUAGGGGUUGCUGACACUCAGUCAAGUAUCAGUGGGGAUACAAGAUUUUUUUUCCUGUGGUCUUCUCAAUUAUGCCUAAAUCUGAGUAAGCACAGCAACUGCUCAGGUUUCCCGUAAAUAAACAUAUACUUUGUCUGAGAGAGAUCAAAUUUGCAAAGUCAAUUCACAAUAAUUUGACCAGCAACUAUUAUAGCUCCCUGAAAGAUAGGGCAGAGCCAGUCACUGCAUGCAGGAGACGGCCAAGAGAAGGUAUCAACUGGGGUCUGGAGAAUCUCUUAGAGUACUCUUGUAGUAUUAUUAAUUAUUUUGGUUUGUUCUAUUUGUUUAAAUAUUCUGGAGACUUGUUCUGUCUUAUUAACCUACAUGCAGCAGGAGGUCCUCUUUAAGACAGAAACUUUACCUUGACAUGGCAGUAGGUAGUCCAAUGCUAAUCUUUUGUCAGCUACCACAGCAACUAGAGGGCUUUGUGCCUCAUUAAGGGCUUCUAAGGCUUAAGAUGCUUACUGUAUAUGGUCUGCCAGGACUGUGACAAUGUCUGAGUG
Molecule: long non-coding RNA, 2772 nt
Filed under: Homo sapiens (human)
Lineage: Eukaryota; Metazoa; Chordata; Mammalia; Primates; Hominidae
Description: HSALNT0284816
Source: RNAcentral